RNAcentral lists this ribosomal RNA (662 nucleotides) under uncultured marine microorganism. RNAcentral's name for it is "bacterial SSU rRNA". It matches the Rfam family "Bacterial small subunit ribosomal RNA", at positions 99 to 795 of the family's 1533-position model. The record is from RNAcentral.
CGGACGGGUGAGUAACGCGUGAGAAUCUGCCCUCAGGAGGGGGACAACAGCUGGAAACGGCUGCUAAUACCCCAUAUGCCGCGAGGUGAAAUGAAUUUCGCCUGAGGAUGAGCUCGCGUCUGAUUAGCUAGUUGGUGAGGUAAUGGCUCACCAAGGCAUCGAUCAGUAGCUGGUCUGAGAGGAUGAUCAGCCACACUGGGACUGAGACACGGCCCAGACUCCUACGGGAGGCAGCAGUGGGGAAUUUUCCGCAAUGGGCGAAAGCCUGACGGAGCAACGCCGCGUGAGGGAUGAAGGCCUCUGGGCUGUAAACCUCUUUUAUCAAGGAAGAAGAUCUGACGGUACUUGAUGAAUAAGCCACGGCUAAUUCCGUGCCAGCAGCCGCGGUAAUACGGGAGUGGCAAGCGUUAUCCGGAAUUAUUGGGCGUAAAGCGUCCGCAGGCGGCCCUUCAAGUCUGCUGUUAAAAAGUGGAGCUUAACUCCAUCAUGGCAGUGGAAACUGUUGGGCUUGAGUGUGGUAGGGGCAGAGGGAACUCCCGGUGUAGCGGUGAAAUGCGUAGAUAUCGGGAAGAACACCAGUGGCGAAGGCGCUCUGCUGGGCCAUCACUGACGCUCAUGGACGAAAGCCAGGGGAGCGAAAGGGAUUAGAUACCCCAGUAGUC